UCAACGACCGUACGAUGGUGGGUACCAUAAAGUCAUUUCCGAACGUGUCUCGAAUGUUUUUUUACUUAAAGAGAGGCGAAAUUCGAAAAUAAAAAGGCAUAAAAUGGGAGAAAAGAAGCCACUUACCAGAGAGUUUAAACUAUCAAAAAAUGGGAGCGAGACCUUUCGUCGACUCAUUCUCUCUUCUUUUUUCUCUUUUCUGUUGAGGGAUAGACUAUCAAUUCAGGUCACUCGCAUUAGAUGUCCUCAAUGGUAAGCAACCAUUCGUUCUUCCAUUACCUAAGCCGACGAUACUAGGAAUUUAUUUCUCAUCUCCAUUGGGACAAAACUACAGUUUUAUCUAAAACUCUGCUUGCAUUCCUCUUAAAAAUUGUGAUAGGUGGAAAACAGUUUAAAAUUAUAAAACGCCAUAUUUUGUAGAACAAACAACAGGCAGAAAACUAAACGUCGGCUGUCGCCAUAUCAUGUGGGAAAAAACCAUCAAGAGCCUAGGUUUCCAUGACAGCUGCUGUGUCUACAUACGUACUACUGGAUUCACACAGGCUAACAGUAAUGAAUGUAAGGCGUGUUAUUCAUUAAUCCGGGCUCUUGUGGCUGUCAGGUGUUUUUACCUAUUACCCAUUUUCGAUAGGAAUUGUGCAGGUGAAAGAUAAAAUUUCAAGGUUCUUUUUGAUGAAACCAUGCAUCUAACGAUCAAAGUGUCAAAGCCUUCAUGGUCAAGGACGUGAACGAGCAUUAACAGACCAACAAUUUCGCAAUUCAUUCAAUCGAAAAAAGCAAUUGCCGCGUUGUGGGCAAGAUGGCAAAAACAACAUACUGUAGGCUUUACAAAUUUAGAAUAAAAUUGGUAUUACAGUA
Daphnia magna is the source of this 858-nucleotide long non-coding RNA. RefSeq lists it as uncharacterized. NCBI's taxonomy places the organism in Eukaryota, Metazoa, Arthropoda, Branchiopoda, Diplostraca, Daphniidae. The transcript has 2 exons. The record is from RefSeq and is a predicted model, not a curated record.